RNAcentral lists this unclassified non-coding RNA (240 nucleotides) under soil metagenome. RNAcentral describes it as "partial contains 5.8S ribosomal RNA, internal transcribed spacer 2, and large subunit ribosomal RNA". The record is from RNAcentral.
AACAUCGCGCACCUGCGGGAACCUGCGGAGGGAUCAUUAACAAAAUUGUCCACGAAUAAUGGAUAAUUUUUAUCCAUAUCCACCUUGUGUGAAUCAUUGAUGUGUUUAUUGGCAGGUUUCGGCUGUACAGCUGGUGAGCUUUUCAGCGCUGAUGGAUUGACACAGUGCUAGCUAGCUCGGCCUGCCAAUUUUAUGAUGUUUAACGUGUCUAAAUAUUACUCGUCUGAAAUAUACUUUUAU